Molecule: long non-coding RNA, 4403 nt
Filed under: Sus scrofa (pig)
Lineage: Eukaryota; Metazoa; Chordata; Mammalia; Artiodactyla; Suidae
Description: lncRNA (ENSSSCG00000061401.1)
Source: RNAcentral
UUUUUUUUUUUUUUUGGCCACACCCACAGCAUGUGGAAGUGCCGGGACUAGGGAUGGAACCUGUGCCACAGCAGUGACCAGAGUCACAGCGGUGACAAUGCUAGCUGCUUAACCCCUAGGCCACCAGGGAACUCCUACAUUGUAACAUACCUUCAGCUGGGUUUCUUUAGCCUGUACCAGCAAGACCCAGAGAAUUCCAGAUGCUACAGGACAUGUCCUGAAGAAGAGCAGAAGUCAGAGGGUGGGCAAGAGAGGUGGGGCCAGGGCAGGAGGCUGGCAGGUGCAUUGUGGAGGAGGGGGCUUCUCUUCCUCUGAGACCGUCCUAGGAGCCGCUUGCAGCCCCUGGGCUGGGGCCAGAGGGAGGCUCUGCUUCAAGGACUGCCGAGUGGGCAGCGAGGAAGGCCCCCGCUGAGAGGCAGGAGACAAGGGAGGAAGGCAGCCCCUGUCCUGCUUCUCUCACCACCCUCCCUGCUGGAGAGGAAGCACACCAGACAAGCCGUCAGCUCCAAGCAGGACACCUGGCACUUCCAGUCCCCUGAUUAGGAUGUAGCCCAGCAGCCCUGGCUGCCAGGGGGAAUAGCACUCAGCCCUGAACAAGAACAAAGCACCGACAUGCGCACAAUGAAAGAACCUGAGGGAAAUAAGCCAGGCCCGAGGCCACAGAGGGCAGGAUUUCACUCCUACAAAGUGUCCAGAAUCAGCAAAGCUCAAGAGACAGAAAAAAAGAGUAGAGGUUCCCAGGGGCGGGAGGAGGGGUGUCCUCCAGGAGUGAUGAAAAUGUCCCAGAGCUGCACAGGGCCGCUGACCGCGUGCCACUGCACAGGUGCUGAGAAAGCAAAAGGAGCUCUUCUUGUGGCACAAUCCGGCCUUGUCCCUGUGGUGGCGUGGAUUCAAGCUCCAGCCCAGCCCAGUGCAUUAAGGACCCAGCGUUAACACAGGGACUCCUUAUGCUGCUGGGCAGGAGGGAGGCAGGAAGGAAGGAAGCAAGAAGGAAAAGGAACCCACCUGCAGCAGCUCGGGUCCAGCACCGUGGGAGAAGGCUCUGGCGUUGCCCCGCCUGUGGUCUACAUCACAGCUGCAGCUUGUGUGGAUUCAGUCCCUGGCCUGGGAACUUCUUUAUGCUUCAGGGGCAGCCAUUAAAAAAAAAAAAAAAAACACCCAAAAAACAAAAAAACUGAACUGCACACUUUUAAAAAAAUAUUUUGGCCGCAGCCACAGCAUGAGGAAUUCCUGGACCAGGGAUCAAACCCUUGCCACAGCAGUGACAACACUGGAUCCUUAACUACCAAGCCAUCAGGGAACCCCAAACCGCACACUUUAGAACAGUUGAAAUAGUGCAUGUGCGUGCUCUGGGGUUUCUACAAGUACUGUCUGCUGUCCCCAGGGACCAGUGCCUCUCAGCUUGUUCCCAGCCCUGGUUGCACGGAUUUGAUCAGCUCCGGAUUUCUCCCCCAACAAGCCCCUUUCCGAGUUUUUUGAAAUACACCGAAAACUCAAGGAAAAAUGUCAGUGACAGACACGCAACAUCUGACACAACGUGCUCCUGGGGCUUCACAUGACCGGCUAAGCAGACCCGCAGCAGCGCCCUGGCCGGGAGCCUCGGCACGAACAUCGUUGCUUCACCGACACUGAGGUACCAACGGGGAAGUGACCCGCCCAAGGUCACGCGGAGGGUGGCGGCGCAGCCUCCGGCUACUCCUGCCGGUGGGGGCAGCUCGGGCUGGGUCAUCUGAGCUGAUGGCUGCCACUCCUGGAAUGGCCCAUGCCUCCCUGGGCACCUGCGGGAGGGCCCGCAAGGCUUGCCCCAGUAACCGCACUUCCAGCCCGGCCUCGGCGGGCACGACAGGCCGGGCCUUCCAGGAACUGAGCUGCACGGACAGGGCGGAGCAACAGGCCGUGAGGUCGAGGGUCGCCAGGUACAUGGGGCAGGUACCUGGGUCUGGAGCAAGCUGGUCCAAACCCAAGAGGAGCUCUCAGUUCCGCAGAGAAGACACGGCCCCGAGACACCCUGACCACAGCGCAGCGACGGCAAGAGACGCCUGAGGACAGCACUGCGUGCACAACCGACACCGUCACAGCCCACAGCACGGGCUGGACUUCCUUUCCCCCUUUACCAACAGACAAGAAACACUCGCAGACACGGGGCUCGGAGACCUCUCGGCUGGAAGCAUGGCCCCAUCGGUGCCGGCAGAGCCCCCAGCCUCUGUGACGACGGCCCCUGGCCGUCAGUGUGUGUGCACACUGGGCGGGGGUGGUUUCACGAGCACCCAGGAGCUGGGGGGCGGGAGCCGAGGGACUACGUGAUCGGCAGGGCACUGGCAGCCCGGAGGGGGUGGCCUGGGGCAGCCCCAGCACCGAGCCCCGAGGCCAAAAGCUGCUCAGCCCAGCAGGUGGCUGGCAGUGCCCGGUGAAGCGGGGACCAGGCCUGCAGGCCGGAGGGAGGUCAGCAAGGGGUGAGCGGCGCACCUGAGGACCCAGGGACUGCGGUGCUGCCCCCCCCCCCGGGGGGGGACCCGCUGCGAUGCAGUGGUCACACCUGGGAAAUUCCACCGAGUGAGGCACCCCCUCCCCUGACCAAGCUGCACCCUCCUUCCUAGAGCACCUCCCGCCGUCACGACAGAGGCGACAGUCACCUCCUCCCACCCGCCACCAUUUCUUGACCGUUGACGCCCCUCCAGGCCCCAGGGCUCACCCUCGCACAGAGGAGCACGAGGGGCUCUGGAAGUCGCUCUCUGGUCGAGUCUGCACCUCGGGGACAGAGGCAACGUGGUCACUGGUGUGGAACCCGUAAGGUCUACAAACUCUCCUGGGGUCUGAGUCCUUUUAUUCACACUCAUACAAAGCAGGGUCCUAGGCAGGUCCGCAUUUAACAAUUAAGUCAGUAAGAAAUACACCGAACCGACCAGGGAGGUCCCGCAACAAAACACCACGCUUCCGCGCAGACAAACGGACAGAAAGGAGACCGGCGACUCCGCCCCCCGUGCGAGCACACCGCUUCCGAGAAACUCACCUGCAAAGAAAGGACACGUGAUCAGUUUUUACUCUACUUCCAGAGUCUGAACAUUCAGGGGAUUUAAAUCUGUUAGCACAAGAAAACACCCCCCCCAGUCUAAAGUCUUCACGCAGAACGUGAGGUGGACGGCGCCCUGCGGUGACCCACCAGCCCCGUCUUUCCAAGUCUCCAGGACAUACCCAGGGUCUCCCUCGCCAGUGCCCCAGGCACCCAGACCCCCGGAGCCCUGCACACCUGCACAGGGCCUUCCUGAGAAACCUGCCCUCGGCAGGUGGGACAAAGCCUCCGAACUCAACGCCGGCCCAUCUAUCGCGACACCUCCCCCUCUCUCUGCUGUGUCGUCCCGUCUGCCCCCAGCUCUUGGGCUCCCUGAAGCCUCUCAAGCCCUUUGCUUGCUUCUUGCCUUGGCUGCAAAGGCCUUUACGUUGUCACGGGGCCGCAUCCUGCUGGGUCCCCCGGGAAUGCUCCCUCCUGUUGUCCUGGUCACCUACUGACGUCCGCCCCCUGCGUUCCCAUCCCGACCACCAGGGACCACCCUUGGCUUGACACCCCCGCAAAGCACAGACAUAACGCUCUGCCCACUGUCGUACGUCAAGAAUGGCUUCACCACCGCGUGCUGACACCAGGCAAGGACGGGAGGGGGAGCUGCCUCGCCCAGGAACAGGCUGAACACACCGAGAGUAAGGAGCUCGGUGAGCGGUCGCGGGUUAGCUCCCAGGAAGGGUCCCCAGAAUUCCCACUGUGACUCAAGUGGUCAACAAACCCGACCAGUAUCCAUGAGGACGUGGGAUCGAUCUCUGGCUUCGCUCAGUGGGCUAAGGAUCUGGCGUUGCCAUGAGCUGUGGUGUAGGUUGCAGAUGCGGCUCAAAUCCCAUGUGGCUGUGGCUGUGGUGUAGACGGGCAGUUACAGCUCCGAUUCGACUCCUAAGAACCUCCAUAUGCUGUGGGUACGGCCCUGAAAAAUCAAAAGGAAAAAAAGAGACUCUCCCCAAAGCAGAACCCGUCUCAGCAGCUGCGCGCCACGGUUCCAGGAAGGGUAUCACUGCCCCCUCGGGUAAGUUCUGGACCUGCGCCAUCCCAUCUGGCGGCCACUAGACACAUGCAGCCAUUUACACUUAAGUUAACAUUGAAAACCCAGUUCCUGGAGUUCCCGUCGUGGUGCAGUGGUUAACGAAUCCGACUAUGAACCAUGAGGUUGCGGGUUCGAUCCCUGCCCUUGCUCAGUGGGUUAAGGAUCCAGUGUUGCCAUGAGCUGUGGUGUAGGUUGCAGACGUGGCUCGGAUUGCACAUUGCUGUGGCUGUGGUGUAGGCCAGCGGCUACAUCUCCGAUUAGACCCCUAGCCUGGGAACCUCCGUAUGCCGCGGGAGCGGCUCAAGAAAAGGCAAAAAG